AGUGAACGCUGGCGGUAGGCCUAACACAUGCAAGUCGAACGGCAGCACAGUAAGAGCUUGCUCUUACGGGUGGCGAGUGGCGGACGGGUGAGGAAUACAUCGGAAUCUACUUUUUCGUGGGGGAUAACGUAGGGAAACUUACGCUAAUACCGCAUACGACCUACGGGUGAAAGCAGGGGAUCUUCGGACCUUGCGCGAUUGAAUGAGCCGAUGUCGGAUUAGCUAGUUGGCGGGGUAAAGGCCCACCAAGGCGACGAUCCGUAGCUGGUCUGAGAGGAUGAUCAGCCACACUGGAACUGGGACACGGUCAAGACUCCGACGGGAGGCAGCAGUGGGGAAUAUUGGACAAUGGGCGCAAGCCUGAGCCAGCCAUACCGCGUGGGUGAAGAAGGCCUUCGGGUUGUAAAGCCCUUUUGUUGGGAAAGAAAAGCAGCAGGUUAAUACCCCGCUGUUCUGACGGUACCCAAAGAAUAAGCACCGGCUAACUUCGUG
Molecule: ribosomal RNA, 492 nt
Filed under: uncultured bacterium
Lineage: Bacteria
Description: partial 16S ribosomal RNA
Rfam family: Bacterial small subunit ribosomal RNA
Source: RNAcentral